GGUUCGGUGGGCCACCAACUCCCCUAAAGAACCUGAGGAAAAGAACCUCCCACCCACCCUCCCCUCCCACAUCACCCGUACGAGUGACCGGCUUGCGGGUGCGGGAGGCGGGCGGUUACGUUCGCCGCAACAACCCCAAACAGACGACGGCCCCCGGCCGGGACUGGCAUCCCGAACGAGGGCCUGACCGAUCAGGAAGAAGCACCUUCCCG
Molecule: non-coding RNA, 212 nt
Filed under: Streptomyces sparsogenes DSM 40356
Lineage: Bacteria; Bacillati; Actinomycetota; Actinomycetes; Kitasatosporales; Streptomycetaceae
Description: Streptomyces sRNA 4677
Rfam family: Streptomyces sRNA 4677
About the family: Located in the intergenic region between anti-sigma factor SCO4677 gene and a putative regulatory protein gene SCO4676. scr4677 expression requires the SCO4677 activity and scr4677 sRNA itself seem to affect the levels of the SCO4676-associated transcripts.
Source: Rfam by way of RNAcentral